RNAcentral lists this ribosomal RNA (783 nucleotides) under uncultured bacterium. Its description in RNAcentral is "bacterial SSU rRNA". It matches the Rfam family "Bacterial small subunit ribosomal RNA", at positions 52 to 848 of the family's 1533-position model. The record is from RNAcentral.
CACAUGCAAGUCGAACGGAGCUUAGAGAGCUUGCUUUUUAAGCUUAGUGGCGAACGGGUGAGUAACGCGUGAGUAACCUGCCCUAGAGUGGGGGACAACAGUUGGAAACGACUGCUAAUACCGCAUAAGCCCACGGUACCGCAUGGUACUGAGGGAAAAGGAUUUAUUCGCUUUAGGGUGGACUCGCGUCCAAUUAGCUAGUUGGUGAGGUAACGGCCCACCAAGGCGACGAUUGGUAGCCGGACUGAGAGGUUGAACGGCCACAUUGGGACUGAGACACGGCCCAGACUCCUACGGGAGGCAGCAGUGGGGGAUAUUGCACAAUGGGGGGAACCCUGAUGCAGCGACGCCGCGUGGAGGAAGAAGGUUUUCGGAUUGUAAACUCCUGUCGUUAGGGACGAUAAUGACGGUACCUAACAAGAAAGCACCGGCUAACUACGUGCCAGCAGCCGCGGUAAAACGUAGGGUGCAAGCGUUGUCCGGAAUUACUGGGUGUAAAGGGAGCGCAGGCGGGAAGACAAGUUGGAAGUGAAAACCAUGGGCUCAACCCAUGAAUUGCUUUCAAAACUGUUUUUCUUGAGUAGUGCAGAGGUAGAUGGAAUUCCCGGUGUAGCGGUGGAAUGCGUAGAUAUCGGGAGGAACACCAGUGGCGAAGGCGGUCUACUGGGCACCAACUGACGCUGAGGCUCGAAAGCAUGGGUAGCAAACAGGAUUAGAUACCCUGGUAGUCCAUGCCGUAAACGAUGAUUACUAGGUGUUGGGGGAUUGACCCCCUCAGUGCCG